Molecule: long non-coding RNA, 1834 nt
Filed under: Macaca mulatta (Rhesus monkey)
Lineage: Eukaryota; Metazoa; Chordata; Mammalia; Primates; Cercopithecidae
Description: lncRNA (ENSMMUG00000051667.1)
Source: RNAcentral
UUUUUUUUUUUUUUUUUUGCUUUUCCUGAUCACUGUGUCAUUCCUUUCCCGGGUGCAUAAAGUGAUGACUGUUGAGGCAAUGCAGUGAGUGGUAAUGUACAUGGCAAUGUUACUGUGCCAGAAUCAUAAAGGAUUUGAUUUUUCCUUGGAAAGGUAGUAAUUAUUGUGGCAUGAAUCAUCUUUUUCUCGAACUUUUGCCUAAUAUUUUGGGAGGCUAUUUCAUACUUUUCCAAAUGUUUGUAUUCAUUUUCCUAUUUGAUCCCUACUGCAAAUAGGGAGAAAUCUUUGUCUUAGUAUAAUAUUCUUUGACCUCAGCUCUAGACAAAAGCACUAUCCUACCAACCGGUGCAUUUAACAAAGAUCAGCGAGCGUUAAACAAAGACCAGCCAGCACCUUAUAUGAUUCAGGGUCACUACCCUCAUAGUGCCUUGGCUUUACUUCAAAGGGAUCUGUACUUGGAGAGAAAAGUCAACUACCUAGACCUCUGUUCCUUCCUUGACAGAACAAGUUUCUCCUUCUGCCCAAAGCCAAGCCUUGCCUGUCUUUCUCUUUCUUUCUUUCUUUCAAUCUCUCUCUCCUUCCUUCCUUCCUUCCCUCCUCCCCCUUCCUCCCUUCCUUCUUUCCUUCCUUCCUCCCUUCCUUUCUUCCUUCCUUCCUUCUCUGUCUUUUCUUUUUAACAGGGUCUUGCUCUGUCGCCCAGGCUUAGAAUGCAGUGGCACAAUCUAAGCUUACUGAAGUCUCAACCUCCCGGGUUCAAACAAUCCUCCCACCUCAGCCACCCGAGUAGCUGGAACCACAGGCACAAACCACCACACAGAUAAUUUUUUGUAUUUUUUGUAGAGGUGGUGCUUCACCAUGUUACCCAGGCUGCUCUCAAAAUCCUGAGCUCAAGAGAUCCUCCUGCCUCAGCCUCCCAAAUAGCUGGAACUACAGGUGUGCACCACCACGCCCAGCUAAUUUUUGUGUUUUUAGUAGAGACGGGGUUUCACCAGGUUAGCCAGAUGGUCUCAAUCUCCUGACCUCGUGAUCCACCCGCCUCAGCCUCCCAAAGUGCUGGAAUUACAGGUGUGAGCCACCGCGCCCGGCCCACAAGACCUUUUUCUAGAGCAAUAAAGAGGAAAUGAGAGUCCUCUUUCCACCUGGGUGGCUAAUUAGGCUGCAAGCUUAGAACCAUCCUUCCAUCCCCUUGGGAGAAACUGAGAAUGAAGAUAAUGCGGUGGAGACUAGGGGCAGCCAAGGGAAACUAGAGCCAUCUACAUCUGAAUCCACCUUCUUGGGACCUACCUUUCUCUUUCUUUUCUCUCUUUCUCUCUUUCUCUUUCUCUCUCUCUCUCUCUUUCUCCCUUUCUCUCUGUCUCUCUGUCUCUCUCUCUUUCUUUCUCUCUUAGAGUUUCGCUCUUGUUGCCCAGGCUAGAGUGCAAUGGUGUGAUCUUGGCUCACUGCAAACCUCUGCCUCCUGGGUUGAAGUGAAGCGAUUCUCCUGCCUCACCCUCCUGAGUAGCUGGGAUGACAGACGCGCACCACCAUGCCUGGCUAAUUUUUGUAUUUUUAAUAGAGACGGGGGGUUCACCAUGUUAGCCAGGUUGGUCUCAAACCCCCAUCCUCAGGUGAUCCACAUGCCUCAGCCUCCCAAAAUGCUGGGAUUACAGGCGUGAGCCACCGCACCUGGCCUUCUUGGGGCUUUUCAGUUGUAUAAGCCCAAUACACUCUAAAGGCUUCGGCCAGUUCGAAUUGGGUUUCAGUCACUUGAAACUGAAAGAGUUCUGACUAACCCAGUACGAGGCCGGAAAGGGCUUGGCGCAACUUGGAGGAAGUGAAAGAAGGCGCAGAGACC